GACGAACGCUGGCGGCGUGCUUAACACAUGCCAGUCGAACGGAAAGGCCCUGCUUUUGUGGGGUGCUCGAGUGGCGAACGGGUGAGUAACACGUGAGUAACCUGCCCUUGACUUUGGGAUAACUUCAGGAAACUGGGGCUAAUACCGGAUAGGAGCUCCUGCUGCAUGGUGGGGGUUGGAAAGUUUCGGCGGUUGGGGAUGGACUCGCGGCUUAUCAGCUUGUUGGUGGGGUAGUGGCUUACCAAGGCUUUGACGGGUAGCCGGCCUGAGAGGGUGACCGGCAACAUUGGGACUGGGAUACGGCCCAGACUCCUACGGGAGGCAGCAGUGGGGAAUAUUGCACAAUGGGCGGAAGCCUGAUGCAGCAACGCCGCGUGCGGGAUGACGGCCUUCGGGUUGUAAACCGCUUUCGCCUGUGACGAAGCGUGAGUGACGGUAAUGGGUAAAGAAGCACCGGCUAACUACGU
RNAcentral lists this ribosomal RNA (467 nucleotides) under uncultured bacterium. Its description in RNAcentral is "partial 16S ribosomal RNA". It matches the Rfam family "Bacterial small subunit ribosomal RNA", at positions 28 to 506 of the family's 1533-position model. The record is from RNAcentral.